This 254-nucleotide ribosomal RNA is filed under the name uncultured bacterium. RNAcentral describes it as "partial 16S ribosomal RNA". It matches the Rfam family "Bacterial small subunit ribosomal RNA", at positions 524 to 776 of the family's 1533-position model. The record is from RNAcentral.
UACGAAGGGGGGCUAGCGUUGCUCGGAAUCACUGGGCGUAAAGCGCACGUAGGCGGAUUGUUAAGUCGGGGGUGAAAUCCUGGAGCUCAACUCCAGAGUUGCCUUCGAUACUGGCUUUCUAGAGGCUGGAAGAGGUUAGUGGAAUUCCCAGUGUAGAGGUGAAAUUCGUAGAUAUUGGGAAGAACACCAGUGGCGAAGGCGGCUAACUGGUCCAGAUCUGACGCUGAGGUGCGAAAGCGUGGGGAGCAAACAGG